This 695-nucleotide ribosomal RNA is filed under the name uncultured bacterium. Its description in RNAcentral is "bacterial SSU rRNA". It matches the Rfam family "Bacterial small subunit ribosomal RNA", at positions 32 to 715 of the family's 1533-position model. The record is from RNAcentral.
AACGCUAGCUACAGGCUUAACACAUGCAAGUCGAGGGGCAGCAUUAUCGAAGCUUGCUUUGAUAGAUGGCGACCGGCGCACGUGUGAGUAACGCGUAUCCAACCUUCCCCAUAGUCAGGAAUAGCCCGGCGAAAGUCGAAUUAAUGCCUGAUGUUUUCCACGGACGGCAUCCGAUGUGGAACAAAGAUUGGUCGCUAUGGGAUGGGGAUGCGUCUGAUUAGCUUGUUGGCGGGGUAACGGCCCACCAAGGCAACGAUCAGUAGGGGUUCUGAGAGGAAGGUCCCCCACAUUGGAACUGAGACUCGGUCCAAACUCCUACGGGAGGCAGCAGUGAGGAAUAUUGGUCAAUGGGCGGAAGCCUGAACCAGCCAAGUAGCGUGAGGGAUGACUGCCCUAUGGGUUGUAAACCUCUUUUAUAAGGGAAUAAAAUACGGGACGUGUCCUGUUUUGCAUGUACCUUAUGAAUAAGGACCGGCUAAUUCCGUGCCAGCAGCCGCGGUAAUACGGAAGGUCCGGGCGUUAUCCGGAUUUAUUGGGUUUAAAGGGAGCGCAGGCGGUCUUAUAAGCGUGACGUGAAAUGCAGCGGCUCAACCGUAUGAUGUGCGUCGCGAACUGUGAGACUUGAGUGUAUUCGAUGUCAGCGGAAUUUGUGGUGUAGCGGUGAAAUGCUUAGAUAUCACGAAGAACUCCGAUUG